GCCUUCGUGGUGUAGUGGUCAGCACGGUUUACGCUUAACCGCGAGGUUCGUGGUUCGAUUCCCGGCGAGAGCA
This 73-nucleotide transfer RNA is filed under the name Stegodyphus mimosarum. It matches the Rfam family "tRNA". From Rfam's summary of the family: Transfer RNA (tRNA) molecules are approximately 80 nucleotides in length. Their secondary structure includes four short double-helical elements and three loops (D, anti-codon, and T loops). The record is from Rfam by way of RNAcentral. Lineage: Eukaryota; Metazoa; Arthropoda; Arachnida; Araneae; Eresidae.